Molecule: long non-coding RNA, 525 nt
Organism: Oncorhynchus tshawytscha (Chinook salmon)
Lineage: Eukaryota; Metazoa; Chordata; Actinopteri; Salmoniformes; Salmonidae
Source: Ensembl
CACAGUCAACCACCCCUUGAGUACAUAAUUACCGUAUUUAAUUUAAAUAAAUAACUUACAUAAUGAUAACACCUUAAAACGAUGUGUUGCGAUCAUCAAAAUAGUCUGAAUACACAAUAUUAAUAAAUGAAUUAUACAGAUGUGUAUUUUCAUAAAAGUCAAGGAAUAAAUCUACUGAUAAAAGUAGUAAAAUGAUGAGUAGUUUGUCUUAAGGACAGAUCCCGGUUGUCCCUGUUACAGGUCCUGUUUGUCUUAAGGACAGAUCCUGUUUGUCCCUGUUACAGGUCCUGUUUGUCCCUGUUACAGGUCCUGUUUGUCUUAAGGACAGAUCCUGUUUGUCCCUGUUACAGGUCCUGUUUGUCUUAAGGACAGAUCCUGUUUGUCCCUGUUACAGGUCCUGUUUGUCCCUGUUACAGGUCCUGUUUGUCUUAAGGACAGAUCCUGUUUGUCCCUGUUAAAGGUCCCAGUUGUCCCUGUUACAGGUCCUGUUUGUCUUAAGGACAGAUCCUGUUGUCCCUGUUACAG